Molecule: unclassified non-coding RNA, 394 nt
Filed under: soil metagenome
Description: partial contains 5.8S ribosomal RNA, internal transcribed spacer 2, and large subunit ribosomal RNA
Rfam family: 5.8S ribosomal RNA (bases 1-120)
Source: RNAcentral
GAUGAAGACCGUAGCGAAAUGCGAUAAGUAAUGUGAAUUGCAGAAUUCAGUGAAUCAUCAAAUCUUUGAACGCAUCUUGCGCUCCUUGGUAUACCGAGGAGCAUGCCUGUUUGAGUGUCAUUCAACUUGUCAACCACUUUGGAAGUUGUUUUUCAAUGUGGCUUGGAUGUGGGGGAUUUGCAGGCUUUUCUUCUGUCUGCUCUCCUGAAAUGCAUUAGUGGUGUCUUAAAGGGUUCACAACCACAGGUGUGAUAAAUUAUCUAUGCCUUUGGUAUGAACAGAACUGUGCUGCUUCUAAAUGAAAUGAGCCCUUGCAGGCUCUUUCUUUUGAUGAAUUUGACCUCAAAUCAGGUAGGACUACCCGCUGAACUUAAGCAUAUCAAUAAGCGGAGGA